GACGUCAGGUGGAGCUGGUGCUGCGGCCACUGAGGCUGCCAUCAGCCUAAGCUGGUGAACUGGGCCAGGCACCGCUCCGGUGCCUGCCGGAGCCUGGCGAUCCAGCUGCACGUCUGCGGGGGCCUCUGUGUCAGAGCGGCGGCCGUUUGCAGGCUGGGAAGCUGCCGCACCGGGAGGCUGAGACUGCAUUGUUGGGAUUUGAUGCACUAAUCUCCUGUCUCCGCCGCCUUUCCCUCUGUUCGGUCUCUUGCCCUCCCUCCCUUCGUCUGUCCUUCCUCCGUGUGUUUGUCUAUCCUCCUCUGUCCCUCCUCUUUCCUCUCCUUGCUUUCUUUGGUUUUCUGCAAUGAUGAGACAGGCACCGACAGCCCGAAAGACCACAACUCGGCGACCCAAGCCCACGCGCCCAGCCAGUACUGGGGUGGCUGGGGCCAGUAGCUCCCUGGGCCCCUCUGGCUCAGCGUCAGCAGGUGAGCUGAGCAGCAGUGAGCCCAGCACCCCGGCUCAGACUCCGCUGGCAGCACCCAUCAUCCCCACGCCGGUCCUCACCUCUCCUGGAGCAGUCCCCCCGCUUCCUUCCCCAUCCAAGGUAAGGCCUGGGGUAGGGGUAAAGGAGAAUCAAGACACCCAGAGGCUUGUGGCUACCCGCUGUGUCUUGAAAAUUUCCUGGGGUUGGCAAAGACCUAGAACUUGGAUCAGAAAGGGUGAGGACAUAGCCUAUGGAUAUCUUGCUACUGACUGAGCCAUCCUUUCCUUUCUUGCCCUUAUG
This 766-nucleotide long non-coding RNA is filed under the name Homo sapiens (human). Its description in RNAcentral is "non-protein coding lnc-SLC4A5-5:1". The record is from RNAcentral. Lineage: Eukaryota; Metazoa; Chordata; Mammalia; Primates; Hominidae.